AAAGCUGUGUGUGUGUGUGUGUGUCUGCGUGUAUGAAGAAAGUUGCCAGCAGAUCACUUUCGGCUAUUUUUCUGCUCACAGAUGAGGAACUGAACUCACUCCCACAUUCAGUGAGAGCUCUGGCCCAGACAGCUGCGCUGGGAGAAGCAUUGGCUUUCCUCCUGGUGGGCAAGUGCUGCAUUUCUGAAUGACUUUAACAAGAAGUGCUUAAGUGCUUGAGUUUUGCAAAUUGAAGCAAUUGCUUCACAAACAAGCUGGUUCUUGCCUUUGCUUUCUUGCACAGUUUUCCUUGCAGUGUUAUUACCUUGCUCACUGUCCCACGUCACCCUGGGAAGCACAUGAAUCAGAUUAGAAGCUUUCUGCUAAGGGGCUGAAUGGUGUAAGCAAGGAGAUUUUUGCUGAAUUUUAGAGGUGGCAAACUCAGGCUCUGGAGAGGCAUUUGCAGGGAAGGAAGAGAUCCUGAGUUUGCCAGGUAAGUGCGAGGCAGAGGAUGGGGUUAGGAGAUGUUUUGUUGCACCAAAUGAUGCUGAUGUUCCUUGUGCAGCUCUGUUCUUCUCAUCAGAUGGUUGUGAAGCCCAUGCCACAAGGUAGCAGGAGGACAUCACAUGGCUGCUCAUGAGUGCCCAAGCUGCUUCCCGUGGCUCAUGCAAUGUUGGCGAGGAUUUUGGUGUCAGUUCUCCAAGGAGAGCCACAGCAAACUCCUGACCCGGAGCCUCUCAGCAGAUUUCCCAAUGAGUACAGGAGAUACUGGGCGAGGCCUUGCCAAAGCAAAGUGGAGUGCCUCCAGGCUUGAACUCAUGCACAGUCCCUGCUGAACAAGCAGGUCUGGCCCUUCCAGCACAGCCCAGAAGGCACGUUUGGUCCAGGUGAGAGCGAAUCAGGCAGGGAGCUGCCCACCCAAAAUGGCACAGAAGCCCCCAGUCUUGAGGAGUGGGAUUAUUUCUGGCAAUAAUGGUGACAGCAUGGCUUGGCUGUGAGCAGUCCUCCUGCUGCCCAAUCUAUGCCAUGCUCAUCAGCCCCUGGUCCCUGCACUGUGCUGCCACACACGCGUGUGUACAGACAUACACACAUUUCUUAGAAAGGCUGAAAGAUUUCCUGCUGAACCUCUGCUGUCAGAAAAUGCUGCUCUGCCAAAAUUGAGCGUUCUCAUGGGAGCGUGUCAAUUCGGAUGGAGUGAAGUUUUAGGGUGACAAAAAUGGGAAUAACGCAUUUCAGGGAACUCAGAGCAGUCAGCAGCUGGCUGUCAGGAUAGGCAGUGCAAGUUCUCAGUCUGGAAUGGCUUCUCUUGGCACCACUGUGCACUAAUGUGUACUGCAGGGUAAGCCAUUGUAUGAAACAUACAAAAUAAAUCAUGGGACAGAAUGCUACUAUGCA
RNAcentral lists this long non-coding RNA (1374 nucleotides) under Phasianus colchicus (ring-necked pheasant). RNAcentral's name for it is "lncRNA (ENSPCLG00000004990.1)". Lineage: Eukaryota; Metazoa; Chordata; Aves; Galliformes; Phasianidae. The record is from RNAcentral.